Molecule: transfer RNA, 73 nt
Organism: Ipomoea nil (Japanese morning glory)
Lineage: Eukaryota; Viridiplantae; Streptophyta; Magnoliopsida; Solanales; Convolvulaceae
Rfam family: tRNA
About the family: Transfer RNA (tRNA) molecules are approximately 80 nucleotides in length. Their secondary structure includes four short double-helical elements and three loops (D, anti-codon, and T loops).
Source: Rfam
UUCGUUGUAGUCUAGUUGGUUAGGAUACUCGGCUCUUACCUGAGAGACUCGGGUUCAAUUCCCGGUAACGAGA